Molecule: long non-coding RNA, 368 nt
Filed under: Elaeis guineensis (African oil palm)
Lineage: Eukaryota; Viridiplantae; Streptophyta; Magnoliopsida; Arecales; Arecaceae
Description: long non-coding RNA (EGUI_LNC076811)
Source: RNAcentral
GGGUCCGACUGCUGGAGCCCGUGUGUCGUAGGAGUUCGUCGGGAAUCUAUCCACUACAGAAGUUCGGUCGGAGUCUGGUUCCUGUAGAAGUUCGGAUGGGGAUCAUUUGUUGAAGAAGCUCGACCGAAGCCUGCCUGCAAUAGAAGUCCGAAAGAAAUUCAUUCACAAUAGAAGCUCGGGUGGAGGCUUACAGUAGAAAUCCGACAUGGACCGCUCGUAGUAGAAAUUUGAAGUAGACCGCUUGUAGUAGUAGCUCGGAGUAGAUCGAUUGUAGUAGAAGCUCGGAGUAGAUCGCUUGUAAUAGAAGCUCAGAGUAGAUCGCUUGUGGUGGGGGCUCGGAGUCUGGCCCUUGUAAGAGUUCGGAUGAG